UGAACCUGCGGAGGGAUCAUUACAGAGUUAUCCAACUCCCAAACCCAUGUGAACAUAUCUCUUUGUUGCCUCGGCGCAAGCUACCCGGGACCUCGCGCCCCGGGCGGCCCGCCGGCGGACAAACCAAACUCUGUUAUCUGCGUUGAUUAUCUGAGUGUCUUAUUUAAUAAGUCAAAACUUUCAACAACGGAUCUCUUGGUUCUGGCAUCGAUGAAGAACGCAGCGAAAUGCGAUAAGUAAUGUGAAUUGCAGAAUUCAGUGAAUCAUCGAAUCUUUGAACGCACAUUGCGCCCAUUAGUAUUCUAGUGGGCAUGCCUGUUCGAGCGUCAUUUCAACCCCUAAGCACAGCUUAUUGUUGGGCGUCUACGUCUGUAGUGCCUCAAAGACAUUGGCGGAGCGGCAGCAGUCCUCUGAGCGUAGUAAUUCUUUAUCUCGCUUCUGUUAGGCGCUGCCCCCCCGGCCGUAAAACCCCCAAUUUUUUCUGGUUGACCUCGGAUCAGGUAGGAAUACCCGCUGAACUUAAGCAUAUCAAUAAGCGGAGGAA
RNAcentral lists this ribosomal RNA (544 nucleotides) under Nigrospora sp. 43wat. RNAcentral describes it as "eukaryotic LSU rRNA". The stretch from base 176 to 329 matches the Rfam family "5.8S ribosomal RNA". The record is from RNAcentral. Lineage: Eukaryota; Fungi; Ascomycota; Sordariomycetes; Amphisphaeriales; Apiosporaceae.